UGUACCGGGUAAUAUUAGCUGAAAUUUUAUUAAAAGAAAGGUUUGUUUACUGGCUAUUGUUGUAGUUGAAAUGGAGACUUACUUUUUAAUCACACUUAAAUUUACUGUCCUAAGUGUUGUCACUUAUAUUUCAGCUUAUUUCUAAGCUCAGCCUUAUUAAUAAUAUACUAUUGUAAAUCAUAGAUUAUUUGGCAAUCAGUUCUUUAGCAUUCAACAUUAUCUGGUGAUUUUGUUCAAUCUUGCAAAAACAGUGAAUAAUCUAGUAAUUACUAGAAAAACUACUACUACAAUCUGGUGGUUGGAUACCACAUGGCUGGAUGUGAUUGAACAAAGAAUCCAGUGUUCAAAUGCUUUGAUGAAUAUUGUUGAACAUUGGAAAUAAAAAGAAAAAGUAUAAUUUUUCAGUAGAGUUCUAUGUCAGAAAUAUGGUAAUAAAAAUAAUAAAUUACAUUUUUCAACAAUUGUCACUUUAUUUUUGAGUGUAUGAAAAACUAUACCUUAAGGAUGUCAAGGUCUGAAGUGUGUUUGUUCUUCCUAACAUAACUACUGUUAGGUGGACCAGGGCAUCUUUGAGUCUAUAAUGAAGUGCAAUAAAAAUAUACAGAUAGCCUAUACAGUGGAACCUCUACUUAUGAGUGCAUCCACGUGCAGGUUUUUUCCAGAUAUGAGCAGCUGCUCGGUCAAUUUUUUGCUUCCAGACGUGAUCAAAAUUUCCAGAUGCGAGCAGGCCUCAAGGGAGGUUAAUUGACACUGGUGAGGGGCUCUUGCUCUUGAUCGGAAUUGGAUCUCAGUUGUUUGUUGGACUAUCUUAUUGAAACUUGGGCAAUGUAUGAUGAAAAGAUGCUCCUUAACGUACACCAAAAAUGAAAGAAAUCGGACCAUAAAUAACGAAGUUCACUUCUCAGCCAUUAGCCUCCCCUUAGCGGUAUAUUUUUGUAUGGUUUUUAUGGUUGUAUUCUUGUUUUAUUUGGUCUUGUGUGAUAGAAUGGAAGAUAUAUUACAAAAAUAAAUAUGAUUUUUAAUUGGUUUCACGAUGAAAAGUACAGUACCUUGAAAUUGAGCUCAAAAUAGCAGAAAUGUUUGAUUCUUUGGCGACAUCAGUGGUAGACAUCAUGAGGUAGCAGUGGCAGACAACAUGAAGCAGCAGUGACAGACAAUGUGAAGCAGCAGUGGCAGACAACAUGAAGCAGCAUUGACAGACAACAUGAAGCAGCAGUGACAGACAACAUGAAGCAGCAGUUGCAAAGGUGUAGCAUUAAAAGUGUAGCACUUGUAAGUCACUCUGUCUGACUUUUUUGGGUUAUCCUAGGUUCUCUACACAUGUAGUCAGGAGCAGGAAUGGCCGCUGUGGUGGCCCUAUAACAAUGGCUGCUGUCACCACCACUAGCCACAUACCUAAUGACAUGUAUUUUAUUCAUUCUUGUGUAUAUAUCAUGUUUCUAUGUUAUUAAUAUUGUUUAUUAUGUCAUAUUACAUAACUUGUGAUAGAUAAAUAAGCUGUAGAGAUUAUAUUAGGGAAAUUAUGAAAGUGUUUUCUCAUGCCUGGAAUUCCAAUGGAACGAUUUGAUUUAAUUUAAUUUCAGUUAAUUUAAAUGAGGAAAAUUGACUCUGCAAAUCCAGUUGCGAGCAAGGUCAUGGAACGGAUUAAACUCGUAAGUAGAGGUUCCACUGUACUUAGGAGAGGGGAAAUUUAUGAUGAUGAUUCAGUCUGACCCGAACCAUUGACAUGUUGAGUGACCGAAAUAUCAUCAUAAGUUUCCUUCCAUAAGUGCAGGUUAUCUGUGUAUUGUUCAAGAUGCAGUAUUGUGACAUUUUAUUCUUUGUAUGAUAAGUUUAUGAAAAAACAUCAUUACUGGGAGACAUUGGUGUGUCCAUGGAGUGAAUCAAGUGUCACUACACAAUGGCUAGUGCAAGAUCUUGGUGUGGGAGAACUCUGAACAUGACUAAGAGAACUAGAGUAUUAUCUGAUGAUAAAACUGACAGAUGAUAUUGAUGUGACUGAUGGUGAAUUUGAAAAUUGGCUACAGGAGAAUGAUGGAGAUCUAGAGAUUGAUAUAUUGAGUAAAAAAAAUAAUGAAACUGUUAAAUGUGUGCAUAAGGGGGAUAACAAUGAAGCACUUGAAAAAAAAUGUGAACUUAUAAAUGUUCAAGAGAGUUUGGACUUUGUGUUAAGAUAUAUUAAUUUGAGCAGUGAAACUAUUUUGAAGUGUACUAGUACACCUUAGAAUAUUUAACCCUUAACCCGUAAACUGCCCAAACAUAGAUCUACAUUUUUUUCAGCAUUUGAAAGUAUGUAAAAAAAUGUAGAUCUUCUUUUUUUUUUUUUUUUUACAUUUGAAAACGUGUAAAAAAACUUUGAUCUGCGUUUUUUUUUUUUUUGUUAUAUUUGAAAAUAUGUAAAAAAAACGUAGAUCUACUUUUGGAGCACUACACAUGUGAAUAUAGAUCUGUUUGGACAGUUUAAGGGUUAACUCUUUCAGGGUCCCCAGGCCCUCUCCGAGACUUGUUCUCGGGGUCCCCAAAUUUUAAAAAAAAAAAAAUUAUUUUUUCUUAUGAAAAGAUAGAGAAUCUUUUCCCGAUCAUAAUGACACCAAAAGUAUGAAAUUUGAUGGAAAACUUAUGGAAUUAUGCUCUCGCAAAGUUAGCGGUCUCGACAAUGUUUACACAUCGGCGAUUUUGCCCACUUUGAGCCCAAUUUUCGGCCAAUUCUAGUGUACUAGUCAACAAAAAUCAUAACUAUUUUGCUAGAACUCCAUUUUUUUCCAUCGAAUGAGUACAAGAAACCACCCAUUUACCAAUUUCAACUAUCCAAUAAAGUGGUCAGAAUUUAGCAAUUUUGCCAAUUUCACACAAAUUUCAAAAGAUGCCAAUUUCUGAAUAGGGUCCAAAAUAAACAAGAAAGACAUUUCUGGCACUAAAAUAACAAGUUCUUUGUUCGUUAGUCACAUCCCCAGGCCCCUCUUUUAUUUCUUUGGCUUUCCACUUUGAAUUUUUAUUCUUACAAAAAAUAGAAGAUUUACUGUUAUGCAGACUACUGCAUUAGUGUAGAAAUGGUAUAAAUAAUAUCAGCGCACUUGUGAAAGAAUAUUAGACUCACCAGUUGACGUGUAUUGGACGCUUGGCAUGAUUUGUUUACUUUUGAACUUUGGUAAAAAUCGAACAUUUCUGCUACUUUGAGCUCAAUUUCAAGGUACUUUUCAUUGUAAAACCAGUCAAAAUCAUCUCAAUUUCUGUAAUAUGUCUUCCAUUCUAUAAAAUGAGACCAGGAAAACUACAAUACAACAAUAAAUACCAUACGAAAAUACAGUGCAAAGUCGCUGUUUAGUCCAAAAACACGGUCAAAGUUUUUUUUUUCUCAUUAUGCACUGUGUGCUGCAGAUUUUUUUUAUACUGUGCACACUGACCACAUAGACCCAUUCUUUCAUAUGUAGGCCUACCAGCUUUCUCUCACUAGAUCUGAAGGCGCUAGAAUUUAGGCAUACUAGUACGUCAAAAACCCUGGGGUGUAAGCCGUACUUGUACGGCCGAAACCCUGAGAGGGUUAAACUGUCCAAACGUUGAUCUACGUUUGCACGCGUAGUGCUCCGACCAUGAUUUUCUCCAUAAAUAAGCAUAUAAAAAAAACAUACAUCACGUUCGGAGCACUACGGGAGUGAAUGUAGAUCUACGUUUGGACAGGUUAAGGGUUAAAGAAGUAAAGAACACAUUUGUAGGCAUUAUCAGAAUGGAGAGCAGCUAAAAAUUUAAUCCUCUUGUGAGCCUCUGCCACAGUCUAGGAAAGUGUCCUGUGAACCCUGGCCCUCUGCUUAUCAGCAAUGCAUCCUCCACUUUCUUCUCAUUCAAGUGCCUCGCCCUCCAGCUGAAUUAUGACCCCUGAAAAAUCAUCACAGAUAAUGGAUUUGGGCUAAGAAGAUUAACAGGUUAGAUCUAGAUGUACAAAUCAUCCCAUAAUCACCCCAAGCAGAGUCUGUGAAACUUGAAUGGUGAGUAUAGUGACCCCUUUAGUACAACAUUUAUUUUUGUUUAUUUAUAAAAUAAAUAUAUUUACAGCAUAUAUGGAGCACCUAAACAAAGUUUAAAAAGAAUUCACAAAAAAAGAUCCAUGGUGUGAUUAAUGUGUGUUUUUGAAAGUGUGAUGAACUCUCACUUCAAAGGUGCCAAGUAAAUGAUAAUCUGCCAUCCCCAGAAUGCAGCCCACAAUGCUCUGCUACCUAGUUACAGUACUAUACUGUCUAGCGCUAGGUGAACAUGGGCAACAGGUUUAAGAAGACUUGCCUAGCUUGGGAAUUGAUAAUGGAUCCUUUUGGUUGUGGGCUGAGCACAGCAGAGCCACCUACUUAUGAAGUUAAUGCUUCAGGGUCACCUACUUAUGAAGUUAAUGCUUCCUGAAUAUUCAUCAUAAGUUGAUUGUUUGGAUCUUGGAAUUUAUUUUCCCAAUAAAAACAAAGUUAUAAUUGGAGACGCAUUACUAAGCCAUAAUAUUCCAUAUUGAAUUUCAUUAAAUUUUUUUACUAAAAAUAUUUAUCUAU
Non-coding RNA from Cherax quadricarinatus, 4529 nucleotides. The record is from RefSeq and is a predicted model, not a curated record. Lineage: Eukaryota; Metazoa; Arthropoda; Malacostraca; Decapoda; Parastacidae.